Molecule: long non-coding RNA, 1296 nt
Filed under: Aotus nancymaae (Ma's night monkey)
Lineage: Eukaryota; Metazoa; Chordata; Mammalia; Primates; Aotidae
Description: lncRNA (ENSANAG00000039151.1)
Source: RNAcentral
UUUUAAUGUUAAUGCUGGUCAGCUGUGCCUGAAUUCCAAAGGGAGGAAGGGAUAAUGAAGCAUGUCUUACCCCCACUUCCUACUGUGGCUUGAAUUCAUUUUUCAGAUUAACUUUGGAAUGCCCUUGGCCAAGGGGAUGGCCCUUCAGUUGGUUGAGGCACUUUGAAUUUUAUUUUUGGUUUAUAGAACAAUGGAUUUGGGGGGUAGACCCAAGAAUCUGUAUGAUUUUUUUUUCUUUUUAUCUUUACAAGUUUUUAUAGUGAAAUAAGGCUUUGCAGCACAAUAACUAAAUAUUGUUGUUCAAUACUGUUGAAUAUUGAGCUCAUGAACCAAAUAUUGUUUGGAGAGGAAGCACUACUGUUUUCUUUUAUCUGUUCCUUUAGCUCUUCAAGAACCAGGACCAGAAGACCCACUUCCAUGCCCCCACUCCUAGAGUUGGGGGAUGGUCCCCCUUUCAAUUAGGAUGAGAUUUAUGCUUCUACUACUUGUAAAAAGUGGCAUGAGACAAGGAAAAGAAGUCCACUACUUAAUUAUGGCCUAGGACAUUCUGCGAAGAUGGAGAGGAAAAUGAAAGAGCAGAGAGUCAAAGGUACAGCUCCCAAAGCAGUCAAUUGUCUGGCAAUAAAGCGUGAUGGGGCAUGUAACAAUUAUGUAACAGCUGCAGAGACAUCACGGUUAUAAUUUAGUACCUUCUACCACCCUAGGAUAUAAUAAAAGUAAGAUUUAAAUAUAUAUCAAAAAGCUGACAGCACCAGAGCAGGCCUUCUUCAGCAUCAUGACACUGAUCAGCCUUGAAAGGAAAUGAGAUGCUGAAGAGAGGGGACAGGAGGAGUAACAGGAGGAGAAAGAAGAGAAGGAAAAGGAAGAGGAGGAAAGAGAAGAGGAAGCAGCAGAGAGGAAAGGGGAGAAGAAGAGGAGGAAGAAAAAGAGGAGGGGAAGGAGAAAAGGAAAAAGAAAACUCAUUUGCUCUCCUGCAGGCAUGACGCAACAGCUAACACCAGCCAGCCUGCUCUGGACUGAAUUCAGGCUGGGAACGUGGGGGUUUCCUGGGCCUGCAGCCCGCGGGGCACGUUCGACCCACAUUCUGCUGUGUGUGUGUGCCGUGCGACACGUCACCCUCCCAUCUCUGCACAUGCCCUUGAAUAUUUCUGUGCUUCUGAUUCAUCUGGUCCACAGUUUACACCUUGAGCCUCUCAUCUUGUGUCCAGCGAGACGCGUACCGUCCUCGCAUCAGAGCAGGGGCUUCUGGCUCCUGUGCCCCCGGCCCCGCGGCCUCUCCGCCCCUCCCCGCCGCGU